Syzygium oleosum is the source of this 508-nucleotide long non-coding RNA. RefSeq lists it as uncharacterized. The transcript has 2 exons. The record is from RefSeq and is a predicted model, not a curated record. Lineage: Eukaryota; Viridiplantae; Streptophyta; Magnoliopsida; Myrtales; Myrtaceae.
UUCAGCACAUAAAACUCCUCUCGAACUCCAAAUCCCCAAGAGCUUCUUCAGAGCUUUCGUUUCAUCUCCAGAGGAUUCAUUCGAAGCACCAAGAGGAAGAAGAAGAAGAAGAAGAGAUGGCGAUUUUGAGGAGCAGCAAGAUCAACGGCGGAGGUGCGUCACGGAGGAGUUCGAGCCGUCUGAUCCCGAAGAGAGGGCAAGUGAAGGUGGGGAUUGUGGUGGGGUUGGCCCAUUCUUUCGCUUCCAUCUUCUCUCUCAAUCUCAGAAACAGACGUGCUCAGUUUUCUCAGUGACCAUGCUGCACUCCCCAUGAGUUUUUUGCUUCUUCUUUCUCAGUCCGAGAGAAAGAGGGAGAAAGAGAUGGGUGUUUUGUUGCUGUGUUUCUUUGUUUGUCUUUCUGGAAGUCUUAGGAAACAACGGUUUGGUCUUGUAAUUAAGAUGUUUUUCUUUUUAAUUUUGUACACAUUUUUGUAGAAUGAAAUAUAAUUUUGCAGAUGAGUUACGGUUC